UCUGAAUAGGGCGCAUGAGUACGUGGUCGUAGACCCGAAACCAGGUGAUCUACCCAUGUCCAGGGUGAAGUUCAGGUAACACUGAAUGGAGGCCCGAACCCACGCACGUUGAAAAGUGCGGGGAUGAGGUGUGGGUAGGGGUGAAAUGCCAAUCGAACCUGGAGAUAGCUGGUUCUCUCCGAAAUAGCUUUAGGGCUAGCCUCAAGGUAAGAGUCUUGGAGGUAGAGCA
This 229-nucleotide ribosomal RNA is filed under the name Bacillus licheniformis. RNAcentral describes it as "partial 23S ribosomal RNA". It matches the Rfam family "Bacterial large subunit ribosomal RNA", at positions 682 to 909 of the family's 2925-position model. Lineage: Bacteria; Bacillati; Bacillota; Bacilli; Caryophanales; Bacillaceae. The record is from RNAcentral.